This 448-nucleotide ribosomal RNA is filed under the name uncultured bacterium. RNAcentral's name for it is "bacterial SSU rRNA". It matches the Rfam family "Bacterial small subunit ribosomal RNA", at positions 329 to 794 of the family's 1533-position model. The record is from RNAcentral.
UGCCAGACUCCUACGGGAGGCAGCAGUGGGGAAUAUUGCACAAUGGGGGAAACCCUGAUGCAGCGACGCCGCGUGAAGGACGAAGUAUUUCGGUACGUAAACUUCUAUCAGCAGGGAAGAAAAUGACGGUACCUGACCAAGAAGCCCCGGCUAACUACGUGCCAGCAGCCGCGGUAAUACGUAGGGGGCAAGCGUUAUCCGGAUUUACUGGGUGUAAAGGGAGCGUAGACGGCCAUGCAAGUCUGAUGUGAAAACCCGGGGCUCAACCCCGGGACUGCAUUGGAAACUGUGCGGCUGGAGUGUCGGAGAGGCAAGUGGAAUUCCUAGUGUAGCGGUGAAAUGCGUAGAUAUUAGGAGGAACACCAGUGGCGAAGGCGGCUUGCUGGACGACGACUGACGUUGAGGCUCGAAAGCGUGGGGAGCAAACAGGAUUAGAUACCCUGGUACC